RNAcentral lists this ribosomal RNA (256 nucleotides) under uncultured prokaryote. RNAcentral's name for it is "partial 16S ribosomal RNA". It matches the Rfam family "Bacterial small subunit ribosomal RNA", at positions 524 to 780 of the family's 1533-position model. The record is from RNAcentral.
UACGUAGGGGCAAGCGUUGUCCGGAAUUAUUGGGCGUAAAGCGUGCGCAGGCGGUCUCUUAAGUCUGAUGUGAAAUCUCGCAGCUUAACUGUGAGCGGUCAUUGGAAACUGAGGGACUUGAGGACAGGUGAGGAGAGUGGAAUUCCACGUGUAGCGGUGAAAUGCGUAGAGAUUAGGAAGAACACCAGUGGCGAAGGCGAUUCUCUGGACUGUAACUGACGCUGAGGCUCGAAAGCGUGGGGAGCAAACAGGAUUA